This 483-nucleotide ribosomal RNA is filed under the name uncultured bacterium. RNAcentral's name for it is "partial 16S ribosomal RNA". It matches the Rfam family "Bacterial small subunit ribosomal RNA", at positions 28 to 507 of the family's 1533-position model. The record is from RNAcentral.
GACGAACGCUGGCGGCGUGCUUAACACAUGCAAGUCGAACGCUGAAGCUCAGCUUUUGUUGGGUGGAUGAGUGGCGAACGGGUGAGUAACACGUGAGUAACCUGCCCCCUUCUUUGGGAUAACGCCCGGAAACGGGUGCUAAUACUGGAUAUUCACUGGUCUUCGCAUGGGGGUUGGUGGAAAGGGUUUUUCUGGUGGGGGAUGGGCUCGCGGCCUAUCAGCUUGUUGGUGGGGUGAUGGCCUACCAAGGCUUUGACGGGUAGCCGGCCUGAGAGGGUGACCGGGCACAUUGGGACUGAGAUACGGCCCAGACUCCGACGGGAGGCAGAAGUGGGGAAUAUUGCACAAUGGGCGCAAGCCUGAUGCAGCGACGCCGCGUGAGGGAUGGAGGCCGUCGGGUUGUGAACCUCUUUCGCUCAUGGUCAAGCCGCAACAAUGGUUGUGGUGAGGGUAGUGGGUAAAGAAGCGCCGGCUAACUACGUG